UACGGAGGGUGCAAGCGUUAUCCGGAUUCACUGGGUUUAAAGGGUGCGUAGGUGGGUCUGUAAGUCAGUGGUGAAAUCUUCGAGCUUAACUCGGAAACUGCCAUUGAUACUAUAGGUCUUGAAUUUUCUGGAGGUAAGCGGAAUAUGUCAUGUAGCGGUGAAAUGCUUAGAUAUGACAUAGAACACCAAUUGCGAAGGCAGCUUACUACGGGACCAUUGACACUGAGGCACGAAAGCGUGGGGAUCAAACAGG
Molecule: ribosomal RNA, 253 nt
Filed under: uncultured bacterium
Lineage: Bacteria
Description: partial 16S ribosomal RNA
Rfam family: Bacterial small subunit ribosomal RNA
Source: RNAcentral